Molecule: ribosomal RNA, 492 nt
Filed under: uncultured bacterium
Lineage: Bacteria
Description: partial 16S ribosomal RNA
Rfam family: Bacterial small subunit ribosomal RNA
Source: RNAcentral
AGUGAACGCUGGCGGUAUGCCUAACACAUGCCAGUCGAACGGCAGCACAGUAAGAGCUUGCUCUUACGGGUGGCGAGUGGCGGACGGGUGAGGAAUACAUCGGAAUCUACUUUUUCGUGGGGGAUAACGUAGGGAAACUUACGCUAAUACCGCAUACGACCUACGGGUGAAAGCAGGAGAUCUUCGGACCUUGCGCGAUUGAAUGAGCCGAUGUCGGAUUAGCUAGUUGGCGAGGUAAAGGCUCACCAAGGCAACGAUGCGUAGCUGACCUGAGAGGAUGAUCGGCCACACUGGAACUGAGACACGGUCCAGACUCCUACGGGAGGCAGCAGUAGGGAAUCUUGGACAAUGGGCGAAAGCCUGACCGAGCAAUACCGCGUGAGUGAAGAAGGCCUUCGGGUUGUAAAGCUCUGUUGUUAGGAAAGAAAAACAGCAUAAUUAACCCCCGCUGUUUUGACGGUACCCAAACAAUAAGCACCGGCUAACUUCGUG